GCGCAUGCACAUUAAAUGAGUGAGAAGAAAGACGUCACAUCCGUUUUUGUCAAAGUCGUUGGCAAAAAUGGCUGCGUUUUCUGAAAUGGGCGUUAUGCCUGAGAUCGCCCAAGCAGUCGAGGAGAUGGACUGGCUCCUCCCCACAGACAUCCAGGCAGAGUCCAUUCCGUUGAUCCUGGGUGGAGGCGAUGUACUCAUGGCGGCAGAGACCGGAAGCGGUAAGACCGGGGCCUUCAGUAUCCCAGUGCCAGAUAGUGUAUGAGACUCUGAAGGACCAGCAGGAGGGGAAGAAGGGAGGACCACUGUGAAGACUGGUGGAGCAAGUAUGACAGACAGACAUCUC
Salvelinus sp. IW2-2015 is the source of this 343-nucleotide long non-coding RNA. RefSeq lists it as uncharacterized. The record is from RefSeq and is a predicted model, not a curated record. Lineage: Eukaryota; Metazoa; Chordata; Actinopteri; Salmoniformes; Salmonidae.